Molecule: ribosomal RNA, 215 nt
Filed under: uncultured bacterium
Lineage: Bacteria
Description: partial 16S ribosomal RNA
Rfam family: Bacterial small subunit ribosomal RNA
Source: RNAcentral
CGUGGGUGACCUGCCCUCGAGUGGGGAAUAACGCUGCGAAAGCAGCGCUAAUACCGCAUACUCUCAGUUCUUCAGUGAGCUGAGCAAAGCUUAAUGUGCUUGAGGAGGGGCCUGCGGCGGAUUAGCUAGUCGGUGGGGUAACGGCCUACCGAGGCGACGAUCCGUAGCUGGUCUGAGAGGAUGACCAGCCACACUGGGACUGAGACACGGCCCAG